RNAcentral lists this ribosomal RNA (497 nucleotides) under uncultured bacterium. RNAcentral's name for it is "partial 16S ribosomal RNA". It matches the Rfam family "Bacterial small subunit ribosomal RNA", at positions 28 to 507 of the family's 1533-position model. The record is from RNAcentral.
GACGAACGCUGGCGGCGUGCCUAAUACAUGCAAGUUGAGCGCUGAAGGUUGGUACUUGAACCAACUGGAUGAGCAGCGAACGGGUGAGUAACGCGUGGGGAAUCUGCCUUUGAGCGGGGGACAACAUUUGGAAACGAAUGCUAAUACCGCAUAAAAACUUUAAACACAAGUUUUAAGUUUGAAAGAUGCAAUUGCAUCACUCAAAGAUGAUCCCGCGUUGUAUUAGCUAGUUGGUGAGGUAAAGGCUCACCAAGGCGAUGAUACAUAGCCGACCUGAGAGGGUGAUCGGCCACAUUGGGACUGGGACACGGCCCAAACUCCUACGGGAAGCAGCAGUAGGGGAUCUUCGGCAAUAGACGGAAGUCUGACCGAGCAACGCCGGGUGAGUGAAGAAGGUUUUCGGAUCGUAAAACUCUGUUGGUAGGGAAGAACGUUGGUGAGAGUGGAAAGCUCAUCAAGUGACGGUAACUACCCAGAAAGGGACGGCUAACUACGUG